UGCAGAAUCCCGUGAACCAUCGAGUUUUUGAACGCAAGUUGCGCCCGAAGCCAUUAGGCUGAGGGCACGUCUGCCUGGGCGUCACGCAUCUCGUCGCCACCCCCCCUCGCGCCYCCUYGGGUCGCRUGCGGGGGGUGGCGGAUGUUGGCCUCCCGUGCCCGCGAGGCGCGGCUGGCCCAAACGCGAGUCCUCGGAGCGGGACGUCACGACGAGUGGUGGUUGAACUCUCAACACGAGUGCUGUCGCGACGACGCCCCCYGACGGACUGCCACGACCCCCAGAGCCCCUCGAAUUGCGGGGCCUCCGAACGCGACCCCAGGUCAGUCGGGACUACCCGCUGAGUUUAAGCAUAUCAAUAAGCGGAGGAAAAGAAACUAACAAGGAUUCCCCUAGUAACGGCGAGCGAACCGGGAACAGCCCA
RNAcentral lists this ribosomal RNA (421 nucleotides) under Mycetia hirta. Its description in RNAcentral is "eukaryotic LSU rRNA". Lineage: Eukaryota; Viridiplantae; Streptophyta; Magnoliopsida; Gentianales; Rubiaceae. The record is from RNAcentral.